AGAACGAACGCUGGCGGCAUGCCUAACACAUGCAAGUCGAACGAGACCUUCGGGUCUAGUGGCGCACGGGUGCGUAACGCGUGGGAAUCUGCCCUUAGGUACGGAAUAACUCAGGGAAACUUGUGCUAAUACCGUAUGAUGUCGAGAGACCAAAGAUUUAUCGCCUAGGGAUGAGCCCGCGUAGGAUUAGCUAGUUGGUGGGGUAAAGGCCUACCAAGGCUACGAUCCUUAGCUGGUCUGAGAGGAUGAUCAGCCACACUGGGACUGAGACACGGCCCAGACUCCUACGGGAGGCAGCAGUGGGGAAUAUUGGACAAUGGGCGAAAGCCUGAUCCAGCAAUGCCGCGUGAGUGAAGAAGGCCUUCGGGUUGUAAAGCUCUUUACCCGGGAAGAUAAUGACUGUACCGGGAGAAUAAGCUCCGGCUAACUCCGUGCCAGCAGCCGC
Molecule: ribosomal RNA, 445 nt
Filed under: uncultured bacterium
Lineage: Bacteria
Description: SSU rRNA
Rfam family: Bacterial small subunit ribosomal RNA
Source: RNAcentral